GACAUUUAGAGCAGACCAUCCAGAGCCCAGCUGUGUGUCUAUAAAGAGCAACCAUUCCAUGGAGCAGCCUCAUAAUUUCAGUAAUGAAAGAAGCAGCACUGACCUGAGCUGUGGAAGGGAUGUGCGAUUCCAGGAUCAGUCCAGGUGUGGAGUGUGUGAGCAGAUUCAGACAGAUCCAGUCUCUAUCACCUGUGGACACACGUUCUGCAGGCAGUGCAUUAACAGCUACUGGGGCCAGUCUGCUCCAUCAGGAGACUUCGCUUGUCCCCGGUGCAAAAAGAGACCUAAAACACGUCCAGUUCUGUAUCCACUUAUGGAGGAAACCAUGAAGCAGCAUUACUGCCCACCA
This is a long non-coding RNA of Astyanax mexicanus (Mexican tetra), 349 nucleotides long. RefSeq lists it as uncharacterized. The transcript is spliced from 2 exons. The record is from RefSeq and is a predicted model, not a curated record. Lineage: Eukaryota; Metazoa; Chordata; Actinopteri; Characiformes; Acestrorhamphidae.